UGAGGAAUAUUGGUCAAUGGUCGGGAGACUGAACCAGCCAAGCCGCGUGAGGGAUGAAGGUACAGAGUAUCGUAAACCUCUUUUGUCGGGGAACAAAAGGCGCCACGCGUGGCGCUCCGAGUGUACCUGAAGAAAAAGCAUCGGCUAACUCCGUGCCAGCAGCCGCGGUAAUACGGAGGAUGCGAGCGUUAUCCGGAUUUAUUGGGUUUAAAGGGUGCGUAGGCGGCGAGUUAAGUCAGCGGUAAAAGCCCGGGGCUCAACCCCGGCCCGCCGUUGAAACUGGCUUGCUUGAGUUGGAGAGAAGUAGGCGGAAUGCGCGGUGUAGCGGUGAAAUGCUUAGAUAUCGCGCAGAACUCCGAUUGCGAAGGCAGCCUACCGGCUCCAGACUGACGCUGAGGCACGAAAGCGUGGGUAUCGAACAGGAUUAGAUACCC
This 434-nucleotide ribosomal RNA is filed under the name uncultured bacterium. RNAcentral describes it as "bacterial SSU rRNA". It matches the Rfam family "Bacterial small subunit ribosomal RNA", at positions 355 to 787 of the family's 1533-position model. The record is from RNAcentral.